Doryrhamphus excisus (bluestripe pipefish) is the source of this 8759-nucleotide non-coding RNA. NCBI's taxonomy places the organism in Eukaryota, Metazoa, Chordata, Actinopteri, Syngnathiformes, Syngnathidae. The record is from RefSeq and is a predicted model, not a curated record.
AUGGAAUUCAAAGACUCUUUAAUGGCAGUGGCUGUAUGCAAGUGGGGGCCGCCCCGUAAGUGUCUGUAGUUAUAUGAGGAAUAUUAGAAAUAUUGCUUGAAUGACUCAUGUUUCAAUUGGGGAAAUCAUUUACAGCAGGAGUUUCAAAAGUGUGGUUCGGGGGCCAUCAGGGACGUCCUUUUUUUAAUUGACCCUGUCCCCUGCAAAAACUGAAAAGUUGAAAACUGAGUUUUAGCUGUUUUUUUUCCCUACACUACUCACAAUUUUGGGAGAAAUUUCCAAAUUUAAAAUUUACAAGAUAACAACAGCAACCCCACCACCACCGCACCUCCCCCCAAUCAUGUUUCUUUGCUGUUGUCCCAUGAAAAGAUUAAAACAAUCUGCAGUGUACUCAUUUAUGUGACAUACUGUGUGGAACCUAAUAGAACUUUCCAAGGUAGGAAAGGAAAGACACUGUAGGCUGUGUGAACCUUUGGGUUGGCACUGCGGUUGCCAGGCAGCCUGCCAUUGAUUCCUAGCCAACAGCACCAUCUCGUGGACAAGUCCUGCAUGCGUGACUGUAGGGUUCGGCGAUACUGCAAAUGUUCGUAGAUACAGGAAAAUAUUGCCAUGUACUAUAAUGUAUUCCCCUUUUAAGUAAUGUCAAAAUAACAAUGUAAGACACAUAACAUAAUCUACACUAUACUGCCCUAGCGAUGCUCGUGGUGACAUUUCGACCCGCCGGCCCCGCCCAAAGGACCAGUUUGGCCACGUGCAGCGGUUUGACGCUCGCGUUGUUUGGCUUUAAACGCUAUAAGCCAACGUGACUUCGUGGCGGCUACGUUUGCCGCCUCCACGAUGACCGAAUAAGUGUUGAGUCAUUACGUUGGUUUGAUGUAUUUUUAUCUGGGCAAAUGUUCACGAUGACCGAAUAAGUGUUUAGUCAUUACGUUGGUUUGAUGUAUAUUUUAUACCGGAGCAAAUGUUGUAUUUUAUGCCUAAAGUUGGCGAGAGUAACGGCAGUAAUAGUAUAUCACAGUAGUAAUUAUCUGCAUUUUUUUGCGGGCACCUUUAAACUCGACGGAAGUUAUCUUAUUUCAUUUCCCCCGCAGAGAAUGUCGCCGUGAAGGUAAAUAAGGGGGUAGUACCUCCUGCCGACAGGUUGCAUGCCUGUCAAAUCUCACAUUUAUCAAGCUGAAGGGGAAUAACAGGGUCAAGUUUUACCGCUUCCUGUUUCUCACAUACAAAGCUAAUGACGGACGUCAAAGAUGGAGCCUGAUAUCGAGGAAGAUGAAAGUGUCUACACGGAGCUGAGUGAGGACAAGCUGGAGCUCAGCUCAGAAGUGGAGGACGAAGACGCGCUCAUUAAAAAUUAUGAAAGUCAAGUCCAGCUCUUCUUACAGGAGCGUUGGCGGGCGAUGGAGAUGUGGCCAAUAGCAGUGCUAGAGGAGGACCAACUCAAGGAUCUCUACCACAAAGUUUUCACCAAUGGACAGAACCCAGACGCCAUGACACAGAAGCUCAAGGAUCAGCUCAUUCAUUUCACAGAGCAGUCACGUAAACUCCGAGUGGCCAAUCAGGAAGUGGAAUUGAGUAACAAGCACCUUUUAAAGACGGUGACAGAGCAGCAAGAAAAGAUAGAGGAGCUACACACAGAGCUCAGAAAGACGAGCGAUGACCUGAGAACCACCACAGCCAAAACGGGUGACCUGACCCAACAACUCCAAGGUGUUGAGCAUCAGCAACAGAGACAGGAGGAAGAUGUGGGAGAGACUCAGCAACUCCAAUCGCUUCAGUGGAUUUCUGGCCAACGAGAGGAAAAACCAAAGGCUUGCCCGGAAACUGCUUGUGAGGAGCAACAUCAGUGGGAGAAAACAGUCCGGGCCCUCCAGGCUCGAUGUUCUGUCCUGGAGCAGGAGAGGUAUGAGAUCCUGACGAAAGUCCAUGAGCGUAUGCAAAUGGCCGACGCCAUCGCGCUGCAGGAUGUGGCUAAGACUGUUGGGAGACAGAAGCCGAAGGUAGGCGAUUUGGAAAACAAAGAUAAGGCCAUCCAGCAGCUGAUCCAGGAAGCUGCGAUGCGCACCAGGAGGGAGGUAGAUAACGUACGUGAGCAGUGCAACGUUGAAAUCCAUCGACUAGCAGAGGAGCUGUCCCAUAUGCAUAUGAAGUGUGCGCUCCAAGACUCUCACAUGGAGAGGUCCAACCAUGAGAAAAAAGCUCUGCGGAAGGAACUGGAGAUGGUAACAAAGUGCCGGGCAGAUGAAGACAUGGAAAAGACCAAUGCUCUUCACCAGAGGUGUCUAAAUGCCGAGAGGAUGAUGGAUGAAAUGAGCGUCUCGUUGCAAAGCACUCAAUGUAAACUCCGGAAGUUAGAAAUGGACAGCAGCGAGGAAGCGCAGCGCAGCCAGGAGGAAGUGCAGCGUCUGCAGGGCUGCUUGGCCACAGCCUGGAAGGACCGCGACAGUAUCAGUGAGGAUCGACUCCAGCUGCAACAAGAGAACCUGAAGCUCCACAGGGAGAUGGAUGAGCUGCACAGAACGUCCAUGAUGGCCCAAACCACUUCCAGACAGCAGAUGUUGCAGAUGGAGCAAGAGACCAAGAGGAAGGUGCAGACAUUUCAAGCACAGAUGGUGGCGCUGGAAGAGACCAGCCGCAGCUUGAAUGCUGAUCGGAUGCACCUCCUCAUGGCACAGCAGAAAAGUCUUCAGCUCUCCAAGGAAGAGGCCACCAACAUGGCAAAGGCCUUUGAAACCAGGAUCCAACAGCUCAUGACGGAGACGAAUCAACACAAGCUACGAUUGCGGGAGCUGGAGCUGCAGCUCAGAAACAAUCACGACACGAUGACCGAGUACGAGAGGCAGCUAGCAGAGCAUCACGACAAGUCGGUUUCUCUGCGGAGACGACUGACCCAGGCUGAGCAAAGGGCAGCGACUGCUACACAACAGCUGUCUAUGAUGACAUCCCAGCGAACAGCAGCGAGACUGCAAAAUGAAGAUUCUGACUGUACGUGAACCCGACACGUUGACAUUUACUUGUCAGGAGAAUGUGUGAUAAUAAAGGAUUUUGAUUUGUAGACACAUUUUUCCUCCAUUUGUGCAUAUUUCUAUUCAGAUUCGUGCAUUUUCAUUUGAUAUACCGUAUUUUCAGGACUAUAAGUUCCCCCGGAGUAUAAGUCGCACAAGGCCAAAAAUGCAUCAUUAGGUAGAAAAAAACACAAGUCGCACUGGGGUAUAAGUCGCACAAGGCCAAAAAUGCAUCAUGAGGUAGAAAAAAACAUACAUAAGUCGCACUGGAGUAUAAGUCGCACUAGGCCAAAAAUGCAUCAUUAGGUAGAAAAAAACAUUCAUAAGUCGCACUAGGCCAAAAAUGCAUCAUUAGGUAGAAAAAAACACACAUAAGUCGCACUGGGGUAUAAGUGACACAAGGCCAAAAAUGCAUCAUUAGGUAGAAAAAAAUAUAAGUCGCACUGGAGUACAAGUCGCACAAGGCCAAAAAUCCAUCAUUAGGUACAAAAAAAAACAUAAGUCGCACUGGAGUAUAAGUCGCACAAGGCCAAAAAUGCAUCAUUAGGUAGAAAAAAACAUACAUAAGUCGCACAAGGCCAAAAAUGCAUCAUUAGGUACAAAAAAAAAAACAUAAGUCGCACAAGGCCAAAAAUGCAUCAUUAGGUAGAAAAAAACAUACAUAAGUCGCACUGGAGUAUAAGUCGCACAAGGCCAAAAAUCCAUCAUUAGGUACAAAAAAACAUAAGUCGCACUGGAGUAUAAGUUGCACAAGGCCAAAAAUGCAUCAUUAGGUAGAAAAAAACAUACAUAAGUCGCACAAGGCCAAAAAUGCAUCAUGAGGUAGAAAAAAACAUACAUAAGUCGCACAAGGCCAAAAAUCCAUCAUUAGGUACAAAAAAACACAUAAGUCGCACUGGAGUAUAAGUCGCACAAGGCCAAAAAUCCAUCAUUAGGUACAAAAAAACAUACAUAAGUCGCACUGGAGUAUAAGUCGCACAAGGCCAAAAAUCCAUCAUUAGGUACAAAAAAACAUAAGUCGCACUGGAGUAUAAGUCGCACAAGGCCAAAAAUCCAUCAUUAGGUACAAAAAAACAUAAGUCGCACUGGAGUAUAAGUCGCACAAGGCCAAAAAUGCAUCAUUAGGUAGAAAAAAACACAAGUCGCACUGGGGUAUAAGUCGCACAAGGCCAAAAAUGCAUCAUGAGGUAGAAAAAAACAUACAUAAGUCGCACUGGAGUAUAAGUCGCACUAGGCCAAAAAUGCAUCAUUAGGUAGAAAAAAACAUUCAUAAGUCGCACUAGGCCAAAAAUGCAUCAUUAGGUAGAAAAAAACACACAUAAGUCGCACUGGGGUAUAAGUGACACAAGGCCAAAAAUGCAUCAUUAGGUAGAAAAAAAUAUAAGUCGCACUGGAGUACAAGUCGCACAAGGCCAAAAAUCCAUCAUUAGGUACAAAAAAAAACAUAAGUCGCACUGGAGUAUAAGUCGCACAAGGCCAAAAAUGCAUCAUUAGGUAGAAAAAAACAUACAUAAGUCGCACAAGGCCAAAAAUGCAUCAUUAGGUACAAAAAAAAAAACAUAAGUCGCACAAGGCCAAAAAUGCAUCAUUAGGUAGAAAAAAACAUACAUAAGUCGCACUGGAGUAUAAGUCGCACAAGGCCAAAAAUCCAUCAUUAGGUACAAAAAAACAUAAGUCGCACUGGAGUAUAAGUUGCACAAGGCCAAAAAUGCAUCAUUAGGUAGAAAAAAACAUACAUAAGUCGCACAAGGCCAAAAAUGCAUCAUGAGGUAGAAAAAAACAUACAUAAGUCGCACAAGGCCAAAAAUCCAUCAUUAGGUACAAAAAAACACAUAAGUCGCACUGGAGUAUAAGUCGCACAAGGCCAAAAAUCCAUCAUUAGGUACAAAAAAACAUACAUAAGUCGCACUGGAGUAUAAGUCGCACAAGGCCAAAAAUCCAUCAUUAGGUACAAAAAAACAUAAGUCGCACUGGAGUAUAAGUCGCACAAGGCCAAAAAUCCAUCAUUAGGUACAAAAAAACAUAAGUCGCACUGGAGUAUAAGUCGCACAAGGCCAAAAAUGCAUCAUUAGGUAGAAAAAAACAUACAUAAGUCGCACAAGGCCAAAAAUGCAUCAUGAGGUAGAAAAAAACAUACAUAAGUCGCACUGGAGUAUAAGUCGCACUAGGCCAAAAAUGCAUCAUUAGGUAGAAAAAAACACACAUAAGUCGCACUGGAGUAUAAGUCACACAAGGCCAAAAAUGCAUCAUUAGGUACAAAAAAAAAAAACAUAAGUCGCACUGGGGUAUAAGUGACACAAGGCCAAAAAUGCAUCAUUAGGUAGAAAAAAAACACACAUAAGUUGCACUGGAGUAUAAGUCGUAUUUUUUGCAGGUAAUUUAUUUCCCAAACUACUUGACCAAAAGAAGGCACGUUCUAACAAUACAAGAAUAGAGAACAGGCUGAAUAGAUGUAAGAUAUGCUAAUGGUUAUUCAGCUACACCAAAAAUAAACAUGAACAGAAAAGGUGUUCCAGUUUUUUUCAUUUAUAAGUCGCUCUGGAGUAUAAGUCGCAGGAACAGCAACCUAUGAAAAAAGUGCGACUUAUAGUCCGGAAAAUACGCUAAUAUCCUCUUAUCUAACAGCUGCUGCUUUCAUUUUGUUGUAGUCUUGUACAUGCGCACAUCUUUCUUCCAGUCCGUGGCGAGUGGUGCUUUUGGUUCCUGGGCCUUCAGUGGGUACUCUCAUGAUGCAUCGCGAGAUGAGGAUCGAACCACCAACCUUGUGGGUUCUGGACGACCUGAAUUCAGAAAACGUAUUCAAACACCCUGAUAUGUAGGAUUCUACGCUGGGGGCAAGGUGUCAUUCGUGUUACUGUAAUAGUGGGUGAGACACACAAGCACCAGACUUCAUGGACCUUGCUUUGUGUACUGGGACGGUCACGCUGGAAGGCAGAAGAACUAACUUUUCCAAAACAUCUUUUAAAACAAUGUCAAUAAUCGUCUUGUUCUUGCAGUCCUGUCAUUGUCAUUUAAUCCACUUCUAUCUCUGUGUCAGCCGACUGGUCGCCCCCAAGAAGAGUUUUUUCCUCCGCCGGUGGGCCGUCUUCAGGAUGGCUGCCGACGCCGUUGUUCUGCGAGAGGGCUUCCAACUGAAGAGCAGCCACCUCUUCCUGCUGUUGAUAAUACUGGACCGUUUUUCUCUUGAAGCACCCCAGCUUCGAAGCACAAGAAGAAUGGAAGUCACCAAAGCGCCGAUUUGGACGGACAUUCAGGGAUUAGAACCAUCAUCGCUCACCUUACACAUGAUGAUGGCGAUGAUGAUCAGAAGCAAAAUUCCCAGUGCGGUUCCAGUUGAAAUGAUCAGGAGUUGAUCAGGAGAAAUGAUGAACUCAACCCGAACGCCAACCUGAAGAAAAGAAAUAUUUCAGGCGAGGGCUUGUUGGUAAAAGUUUGUGUAUCAAACGCACCCAUUUCUUGGUGGGGUUGUUGUCGUUCCACAAGGCAUCCUUCUCCUCCUCGGCUGGUCCUUUAUUCUUUGGGUCAACAUUUGGAUGACAGCAUAAUGAAACAGUACUGUACAGCGGAACCCUUUUAUGUCGACUCCCCGUCGAUGUGGACCAGCUCAUCAAGUCCCGGUCCACCGUGUUCUUAUGACUAGAAAACUGGUCAGAGAACGCCAUAGUUCCCCCAAUAUGGUGACUUCCACCAUGAAUGAGUCUAAAUCUACAUACGUAUUUAGGUUGCUAAUGUUAGCAUGCUCGUGUCAAGGUGUGAAAAAAAACAAAGGAAAAAUAAUCAAUUUAACAGAGAUCACCAAUCUUUUUUGUACAUAUUGUCAAUGGUAUCCUCUUUGCAUGACAUCUUUAUUGUUUUGAUUUCAUCUACCUGUUACUGUUAGUUCGAAGUAAAGCACUUUUACAACUCGGUGCUGUUACACAGUUACGCCACAGGGGGCCACGCACAGCAGUGAAGAAGUGAAGAAGAAAAAUAAACCGCUGUGUUGGAAAGACACCAACUUUUCCCGUUCUUGUCUGUGUUUCAGGUUUUGAGGUUGGACCGACUGUCGGAGCUCGCGCUUCUGUGGUCAUGCAAAUGUUAUUGCAGUGGUAACAUGCUAACACCUAGCAUAAUAGUGUUGUAGAGUGUCCGUCUUGUGGUCUGCAACACGAAGAAGACUUCAGGAGCAGUUUGAAAUGUGAGAACAAGAUGCUGUUUGAUUCAACAAGAUGUACACUGCCCCUGCAUUAUAGUCUUCAAGAGGGGCCCCGACCGCGACAUCUCUGAGUCUAUCUCCAUUGAGAUCCGCAAGACUAGCAAUGCUGGAACCGAACCUCCCCAUGGACUGCACGGCCAUCUUCAUUUCCCUUCUCAGCAGCAUCUGCAAGGACGAACGCUUGAGCGAUCCAUUCAUGUCAAUCCCAUUUUGUGAGUGUUUAUGGCCAUCCCACCUCAUCAGUCAGCGUGUAAACGUAGAUCUGUCCCUCAGACCUCUCCUGAGGAUGGUAAAACAAUGGCGCUCCCACCAGGAGGAAGUCACUGUUACCAUCCGAGUCCACGUCCAGUGUGCACAGCUCGGCCCCAAAGUAGGAACCAAUCUGAACAUGCGGGGAUAAAGCUUCAGUUGUUUUGUUCAUUGAGUCACUCGUUACCAUACGCUUGAAACUGCAACUUGAAUACAACAAUCAUUUGACUGUCUUUACCAACCUGAUCCCCAUUUACUCUUUGGCUAGCAUCCCAGCUGCUCCCGUUGCGUCUGAAGAGUAGCACUUGUCCUGUGUGCUGAAAUCUUGGAGCGCCCGUGAAAUACAGGGGAACAUUGUUGAUCUGUCCCACAGAAACAGAGUAUCCUGCAGUGGAGCAGUAGGACAUUGAAAAGGUUCCACUGGCAUAAAUGGCAGUGAUAUCAAAGAAAAACAAGGAUACCCAUGUAAGAGUCCAUCUCCAUGUGUGGAUCUUGUAUCCGUGUCUCGGUUAGGUUGUGACGCUGGUACAGAGCACCACGCCAGCUGUUUGAUCCCACUGAACCCAGGAUCAAGGUGUCCUGUGAUGGAAAAGCAUCCGACUACAGUCAAAACCUUGCUUUUCAUACACCCAUCAUGUUUUCUCUCUGUUAUUUACAAAUAUUGUUAAAAACAUCCUUUUUUCAAGUUAGAUGUAGUCAUCUGGACACUAGGCGUCAGUAGUAUUACACUGGUGAGACAUGACAUUAGAUUACCGUCACAUUGCAUGGAGUCAGCCCCGGCAUGUCCGACAUAGAGUGGAAGGAAGUUCUCUUCCCAUUUGGUGUGGAAGUUCUUUCUUCCCACUCCAUUUUAAACCCUUAAGUUUAGAAUACGGCAAAUAAAUUGGAGACUAACCAGUGAGCUCGCGAGCUCGCUGCUGUUGGAAGGAUAGCUCCAUGUGCCAAGAGCAGGUGAUCUCGGAACUCCUGCAAAUAGUGGGGAUCUAAUGGACCAUUUCAACUCUAAACCAGUUAGAUCUCCCCUUUACCAAUACCAUUGUUAUUUGCUUUAACCUUUCUUUGUGGUAGAAGUCAUUUCAAAGUUGUGUGCAGACGUUGCUUAGCUUACUCUGUAGAACGCAGCACUGAAUCCACUCUGGGACAUCUCAUCAGUCAUGUCUUCUGCCCGAGCAACUUUGGAGUCUCCUUCCAUGCUGAAGAUGUGUUUUUGGAAAUUUUCCAGUAAUCCCGUGAGUCCAUCAUACUGCUUAAUUUUAAAGGCAUAUUUGUCCUUGGGGUCUGAGGCAAUAGACUUGACUUUAUCCAGGCUGACG